ACGGAAGGCAGCAGUGGGGAAUAUUGGACAAUGGGCGAAAGCCUGAUCCAGCCAUGCCGCGUGAGUGAUGAAGGCCCUAGGGUUGUAAAGCUCUUUCGGCGGGGACGAUAAUGACGGUACCCGCAGAAGAAGCCCCGGCUAACUUCGUGCCAGCAGCCGCGGUAAUACGAAGGGGGCUAGCGUUGCUCGGAAUCACUGGGCGUAAAGGGCGCGUAGGCGGAUCUUUAAGUCGGGGGUGAAAGCCCAGGGCUCAACCCUGGAAUUGCCUUCGAUACUGAAGAUCUCGAGACCGGAAGAGGUAAGUGGAACUGCGAGUGUAGAGGUGAAAUUCGUAGAUAUUCGCAAGAACACCAGUGGCGAAGGCGGCUUACUGGUCCGGUUCUGACGCUGAGGCGCGAAAGCGUGGGGAGCAAACAGGAUUAGAUACCCUGGUA
RNAcentral lists this ribosomal RNA (434 nucleotides) under uncultured Hyphomicrobiales bacterium. RNAcentral's name for it is "bacterial SSU rRNA". It matches the Rfam family "Bacterial small subunit ribosomal RNA", at positions 341 to 792 of the family's 1533-position model. The record is from RNAcentral. Lineage: Bacteria; Pseudomonadati; Pseudomonadota; Alphaproteobacteria; Hyphomicrobiales.